RNAcentral lists this ribosomal RNA (298 nucleotides) under Gnoriste bilineata. RNAcentral describes it as "12S ribosomal RNA". Lineage: Eukaryota; Metazoa; Arthropoda; Insecta; Diptera; Mycetophilidae. The record is from RNAcentral.
GGCGGUAUUUUAAUCUCAUUCACGAGGAACCUGUUUUAUAAUUGAUAAUCCUCAUUAUAUCUUACUUAAUUUUAUUUAAUUUGUAUACCCGUCGUCAUAAGAAUCUCUUAAAAAAGAAAAAAUUUUCUAAAAUUUUAAUUAAUAAUAAUGUCAGAUCAAGGUGCAGUUUAUAGUUAAGAAAAAAUGAGUUACAAUAAAAUUAUUUAAUAACAGUUUUAAAGAUUCAAUUCUUUAAUUAAGGUGGAUUUGAUAGUAAAAUAAAUAAUUAAAUUUAUUUGAUUUUAGUUCUAAAAUAUGU